CAGGCCCUGAGGUAUGCACAUUCACACGCUGUCCCACAAAAGUCCUGAGAGGCAUGUGUUAUUACUUCCCUUUUACAGAUGAAGUGACAAGUGAGCCAGAUUUUGGAUGAUCCAAGGAAGUUAUGGGUGGCGGAGGAGAUCCAGGAGAGGUUAAUGGAAGAUGUGGGACUGAAUUGAGUCUUGCUAGUCAAAGAUAAUUUGGCUGAAGAAGAGGAUGGCAUUCUGGCAAGAAUAAAGAUGAGGAGAAGGAAUGCGCACCACAUAAUUUGGAACAGAGUCCAGACUGACCUGAAUGGAAAGCAAGCUGCAGAUAGGAAGACUGUGUGCACAUAGAUAAUUGGACAAGAUCCUCAUUUUGCAGAUGAUGCCGUGAGAGUAUGAAGGAGCGGUAUUAAAUCCAGCAGGAAACCUCAGUAAAGGUGGUUUUAGAACAUAGUCUGGAAGAAUAGGAGUUGGCCAGGCAAAGAAGAGAGUGAAGGGUAUAUAAAGACGUCUCAGAUAAAUGGAACAGCAUGAACAAAGGCAUGGAAGCGUGAAACAACAUGGAUUAUUCUGGAAAUCACAAACAUAGGAUAAAUGUGAGCUGACAAUUGAGGUGAUUUGCCUGCUGUCAAACAGGUGGCAAGGCAGAGGUGGUCU
Molecule: long non-coding RNA, 639 nt
Filed under: Homo sapiens (human)
Lineage: Eukaryota; Metazoa; Chordata; Mammalia; Primates; Hominidae
Description: HSALNT0302904
Source: RNAcentral